GUGGGGAAUAUUGGACAAUGGGGGGAACCCUGAUCCAGCCAUGCCGCGUGUGUGAAGAAGGCCUUUUGGUUGUAAAGCACUUUAAGCGAGGAGGAGGCUACCGAGAUUAAUACUCUUGGAUAGUGGACGUUACUCGCAGAAUAAGCACCGGCUAACUCUGUGCCAGCAGCCGCGGUAAUACAGAGGGUGCAAGCGUUAAUCGGAUUUACUGGGCGUAAAGCGCGCGUAGGUGGCCAAUUAAGUCAAAUGUGAAAUCCCCGAGCUUAACUUGGGAAUUGCAUUCGAUAGUGGAUGGGUAGAGUAUGGGAGAGGAUGGGAGAAUUCCCGGUGUAGGGGUGAAAUUCGUAGAGAUCUUGAGGAAUACCGAUGGCGAAGGCAGCCAUCUGGCCUAAUACUGACACUGAGGUGCGAAAGCAUGGGGAGCAAACAGGAUUAGAAACCCUGGUAGUCC
Molecule: ribosomal RNA, 451 nt
Filed under: uncultured bacterium
Lineage: Bacteria
Description: partial 16S ribosomal RNA
Rfam family: Bacterial small subunit ribosomal RNA
Source: RNAcentral